Fukomys damarensis (Damara mole-rat) is the source of this 3444-nucleotide RNA transcript. It is a transcript of the gene named protein kinase C and casein kinase substrate in neurons 2, with no coding region annotated. The transcript has 11 exons. Lineage: Eukaryota; Metazoa; Chordata; Mammalia; Rodentia; Bathyergidae. The record is from RefSeq and is a predicted model, not a curated record.
GUCUGUCUGCAGAUUCUGAGCAUCUGGAGUGGACCUCUGAACCUCUUAGCAUUUGCUGCUGCCCUCACCCUUUGAAGAAAUGUCUGUCACUUACGACGAUUCCGUUGGAGUAGAAGUGAGCAGUGACAGCUUCUGGGAGGUCGGGAACUACAAGCGAACAGUGAAGAGGAUCGACGAUGGCCACCGCCUGUGCACUGACCUCAUGAACUGCCUACAUGAGCGUGCGCGCAUCGAGAAGGCAUAUGCACAGCAGCUCACAGAGUGGGCCCGACGCUGGAGGCAGCUUGUUGAGAAGGGACCACAGUACGGGACGGUGGAGAAGGCCUGGGUAUCCUUCAUGUCUGAGGCAGAGAGGGUCAGUGAGCUGCACCUGGACGUAAAGGCUUCACUUAUGAAUGAGGACUUUGAGAAGAUUAAGAACUGGCAGAAGGAAGCCUUUCACAAGCAGAUGAUGGGAGGCUUCAAGGAGACCAAGGAAGCAGAGGACAGCUUCCGCAAAGCCCAGAAGCCCUGGGCCAAGAAGCUGAAAGAGGUAGAAGCAGCGAAAAAAGCCUACCAUGCAGCCUGCAAAGAAGAGAAGUUGGCCAUCUCCCGAGAAGCCAACAGCAAGUCAGAUCCCUCACUCAACCCAGAACAGCUCAAGAAAUUACAAGACAAAAUAGAAAAAUGCAAGCAAGAUGUUCUGAAGACCAAGGACAAGUAUGAGAAAGCCCUGAAGGAACUGGACCAGAGCACCCCCCAGUACAUGGAGAACAUGGAGCAGGUAUUUGAGCAGUGCCAGCAGUUUGAGGAAAAGCGACUGCGCUUCUUCCGGGAGGUUCUGCUAGAGGUUCAGAAGCACCUGGACCUGUCAAAUGUAGCCAGCUACAAAACCAUUUACCGCGACUUGGAACAGAACAUCAAAGCGGCUGAUGCAGUGGAGGACCUGAGGUGGUUCCGAGCCAAUCACGGGCCAGGCAUGGCCAUGAACUGGCCACAGUUUGAGGAUGAAGAGUGGUCUGCAGACCUGAAUCGAACUCUCAGCCGGAGGGAGAAAAAGAAGGCUGCUGACGGUGUGACCUUGACAGGCAUCAGCCAGACAGCUGACCAGGCUGUGCCGAACAAGGCUGGCAGUGUGAGCAGCUAUGAGAAGACCCAGAGCUACCCUGCUGACUGGUCUGAUGAUGAGUGCAACAACCCUUUUUCCUCCACGGAUGCCAACGGUGAUUCCAACCCAUUUGAUGAGGAUACUGCCUCGGGAACAGAAGUGCGAGUCCGGGCCCUGUAUGACUAUGAGGGGCAGGAGCAUGAUGAGCUGAGCUUCAAGGCUGGUGAUGAGCUGACCAAGAUAGAGGAUGAGGAUGAGCAGGGCUGGUGCAAGGGACGCUUGGACAGUGGGCAGGUUGGCUUGUACCCCGCCAACUAUGUGGAGGCCAUCCAGUGACAGGCCAGGGGCAGGCUGGCGGAGAGAGGAAGAGGCCAGCUCUGGAGCUCCCUCAGCCUCGGCCCAGGCAGCGGUGGUCUCUGCAGCCUUUGGGGCAUCCACUCUUACCUGCACAAGAUGCCAGCUCCCUUGCGGUUGCUUCCAGAUGUGCUUGGAAGGCAGAGGAGCUAGUCCUCCCAGCAGGACUCAGCCCUUUCCAAGUGCAUCUGGGAGCUCUGCACAGGAAGACAGCGGGAGAAGAGCUGGCCCUCCCGACCCCCAGUUCUGUGCUGUGCGGGUCUGGAUGUUCUCGGCUCAUUCUUCUUCCACUGAUUGUUGUCUCUCACCAGUCUCAUCCCUGCUAGUUAAGUAAACAAACAUAUACCAUUUUCUGAGUGAAGAUUUUGAAGAUUUUAAUUUAAAGGCUAUGUACAGUUAUACAUUUUUACACACCUGCUCUGCCAUCCUCUGCAUAUAAGUUAUGGCACAGGUUGCUCUGACCUGGCUCCAGGAUGUGUUAGCUCUGUCUCCACCAUUGCUGCUCAUCAGCCUGGCCGCUGCCACAGGUCCUGUGGACAGGUGACGCCCGAGGCAAGAGGCCAUGCAGAAUGUGGGGCGCACCACAAAGGGGUUUCAAUGAUGAAUGUGGCCUGCGGAGGAAACCUCACACAGGACUCCCCAAAGUCGCCAUCUGUCCAAAUGAGUUGGACUCUAUUCCUGCUUAAAACUCAACUGUCUUGCAGAUUCACUAUUUUAUCAGUGAUUUGAAAGGUUAAAUAAGUCUAACUUUUCGAGCAGAUGCUUCUAUGGCUUAAGAUGCUCUAUAUCAGGCUGUAUAUAUUAUUUGCUAUUCAGAGAAUCUAAACAGAUUUAAGGUCUCUAACUGUGGAGAUCUGUUAAAAGGCCAUCUUUGAGGUCAUCACAGGCUUUGCUAUCACCAGUGUUCCUCAUGAGUAAACAGAGACUGGUUGUGGAUUGCAUCACAGUCCCACCGAGUGCCUUCAGUCCUCGGUGCAACGGGGCGACCUGAAGAACCUACAGUGGGAAGGGCCUUUACUUUUGCUGGGACAGUAGUGGGACAGCAUAGGACACCACUGUCGUGAGCUGCACUGCUUUCUACUGAGUGUCCACAGGAAGCUCCACUCUUCCUUGAAAGUGCAUGAGUCAGGGACUAUCAUGAAAAUUCCCAGCAGAAGUCCCCGUUUCUGUGCUACAGAUGUACCAACAGCUGUCUUACCUUUUAAGUUUAGUAUCUCCUUUAAGUGUAUUGCAUCUUUGAACAAAAUCAAUAAAUAGUCGAUCUCAGGUGUGCAAAAGGCCCUCGCUGUGUGUCCGCCCUCACACUUGCAGCAGUGCUACGAUGCGUCAUCAUUCCUAGAGUCUCCGGCCCUUGGACCUGAGCAAGAGGGAAGUUGUGGGCCCUGAGCCCGUUUGACCUGGUCUCCCCCGUGGGGUGGGGCUCCCUACCCCCUAUAGCAGCAGAAUAGGACCUGCGACCCCUUGAGCCCGUAGCUCUCCCUGGAACGUUUCCCUGAGAACCUACUGGGUGCUGGGCCUUAAGCUCUGCUCUAUUUCUGUUACCUGCAGAGCACUCAUCUCCAGACAUCCCUGUAGCAGGCCUAGUCUUCCCUCUUCUGUUUUACAGAGGGGGAGCCACGCCCCUCUGUAAAGCCAUGUAAAAGCCAUGUCUGCCUAAGGAUCCCAGCUAUUGAGAGACACCCAGCCUAAUCUUGGAGGAUUCGGCAGCCCUGGGUGGUCUAAAGAGGGGAGGGUCAGGUGAGGGCUGCCAUGGCCACACCCACCAGGCCCAUUAGGCCCCCUUGAAGAGCUGGCGGGAGAGAGGUGCACAGCUGCCCCUGCUGCAUCUCUGCCCAUACUCAGCCAGGGCAGAGGAAGCAUCUUGGCCGUACAGCCUCCUCGUCGCAGGGGUGCCAGGUCCCCUGCUCUCCUGCUCUGAGGAGGGACAGAGCCCAUCAGCAGACAGUCAGCUGCCCAGUGUGGACACCGGCUUCUGCCUCUAAUAGCCUUGGGCUGCCGAGAGC